RNAcentral lists this ribosomal RNA (479 nucleotides) under uncultured bacterium. RNAcentral's name for it is "bacterial SSU rRNA". It matches the Rfam family "Bacterial small subunit ribosomal RNA", at positions 30 to 507 of the family's 1533-position model. The record is from RNAcentral.
AUUGAACGCUGGCGGCAUGCUUUACACAUGCAAGUCGAACGGUAACAGGUCUUCGGAUGCUGACGAGUGGCGAACGGGUGAGUAAUGUAUCGGAACGUGCCCAGUAGUGGGGGAUAACUACUCGAAAGAGUGGCUAAUACCGCAUGAGAACUGAGGUUGAAAGCGGGGGACCUUCGGGCCUCGCGCUACUGGAGCGGCCGAUAUCAGAUUAGGUAGUUGGUGGGGUAAAGGCCUACCAAGGCUUAGAUGUCUAGGGGGUGUGAGAGCAUGGCCCCCACGACCGGAACUGAGAUACUGUCCGGACACCUACGGGUGGCUGCAGUCGAGAAUCUUCCGCAAUAGACGAAAGUCUGACGGAGCGACGCCGCGUGCGGGAUGAAGGCCCUUGGGUUGUAAACCGCUGUCAGAGGGGAUGAAAUCUCCGAGGGUUAUCCCUCGGAGUUGACAGAGCCUCAGAGGAAGCACGGGCUAAGUAUGUG